UGGCUCAGGACGAACGCUGGCGGCGUGCUUAACACAUGCAAGUCGAACGGGAGUAUUGAAGAAGCUUGCUUUAGAGAUACUUUAGUGGCGGACGGGUGAGUAACGCGUGAGGAACUGUCCUAUGCAGGGGGACAACAGCUGGAAACGGCUGCUAAUACCCCGUAAGCCGAGAGGUAAAAGGAUCAAUCCGGCAGAGGAGGUACUCGCGUCCUAUCAGCUAGUAGGUGAGGUAACGGCUCACCUAGGCGAAGACGGGUAGCCGGCCUGAGAGGGCGAACGGCCACACUGGAACUGAGAUACGGUCCAGACUCCUACGGGAGGCAGCAGUGGGGAAUAUUGGGCAAUGGGGGGAAACCCUGACCCAGCGACGCCGCGUGGGUGAAGAAAUCCUUCGGGAUGUAAAGCCCUGUUGUAUGGGAAGAGCGGAAGACGGUACCAUACGAGGAAGCCCCGGCAAACUACGUGCCAGCCGCCGC
RNAcentral lists this ribosomal RNA (476 nucleotides) under uncultured bacterium. RNAcentral describes it as "bacterial SSU rRNA". It matches the Rfam family "Bacterial small subunit ribosomal RNA", at positions 20 to 518 of the family's 1533-position model. The record is from RNAcentral.